Molecule: ribosomal RNA, 896 nt
Filed under: Desmaulus extinctorium
Lineage: Eukaryota; Metazoa; Mollusca; Gastropoda; Littorinimorpha; Calyptraeidae
Description: 12S ribosomal RNA
Source: RNAcentral
GAAUAGUUUGGCUCUGGCUAUAAAAUAUAAUUCGAAUAAAAAAAUACACAUGGUUUUUUUUGAAAGUAGUGAGUUAUUAUAUAUAAAUUUAUAACUGACAGUUAUUUAUUUUUAUUUUGGUAUUAGAAUUAGACAUGAUGCUUAAGAUAUUCUCACUAACACCAGUGAUUGAUAUUAAUAAUGAGCGUGAGCUUGAAUUAGUUUAGUUUGUUUGAAGUUUAGUAAAAAUUGGUGCCAGCAACUGCGGUUAAACCAAUGAACUUUUUAUAUUGAUAGGUUGAAAAGGCGGUUAGAAUAAUAGUUUUGUUUAGGGAUUUAAUUUAUAGAGGUGAAAUUUAAGUAAAUUGAAAUAUUUUAUUCUAAACAUUUUUUUGAUUCUGCGAUAACUAUAAGGGAAACUGGGAUUAGAUACCCCAUUAUUUAUAGAAAUAAAUAAAUUUUAGUUAAUUACCAGAGUACUACGAAUAUUAUAAAUUUAAAACUCAAAGAGCUUGGCGGUGUUUUAGACCUUUUAGGGGAACCUGUCUUAUAAUCGAUAGUCCACGUUAGACCUAACUUUUUUUUGUAAUAUUAUUUUAACAGUUUGUAUACCGUCGUCGUCAGGUAACUUUUAAGAAUUUUUAAGUUAGCGAUUUAGUUAUAGUAGUAAUUUUAUUAAUUUAGAUGUCAGAUCAAGGUGCAACCUAUAAAGAAGUAAGGAUGGGUUACAAUUAUUUAUUUGUAGUGGAUAAAAAUUUUAAAUGUUUUUUGAAAAAGGACUUAAAAGUAAAAUUUAAUAUAUAGAAAGAUAGUUUGAACUAUGGCUCUGAAAUGUGCACAAAUCGCCCGUCGCUCUCGUUGAAAAAUGAGAUAAGUCGUAACAUAGUAGAGGUAAUGGAAAUUGUCUCUGGAUGAAA